GACGAACGCUGGCGGCGUGCUUAACACAUGCAAGUCGAACGGAAAGGCCCUGCGUUUGUGGGGUGCUCGAGUGGCGAACGGGUGAGUAACACGUGAGUAACCUGCCCCUGACUUUGGGAUAACUUCAGGAAACUGGGGCGAAUACCGGAUAGGAGCUCCUGCUGCAUGGUGGGGGUUGGAAAGUUUCGGCGGUUGGGGAUGGACUCGCGGCUUAUCAGCUUGUUGGUGGGGUAGUGGCUUACCAAGGCUUUGACGGGUAGCCGGCCUGAGAGGGUGACCGGCCACAUUGGGACUGAGAUACGGCCCAGACUCCUACGGGAGGCAGCAGUGGGGAAUAUUGCACAAUGGGCGGAAGCCUGAUGCAGCAACGCCGCGUGCGGGAUGACGGCCUUCGGGUUGUAAACCGCUUUCGCCUGUGACGAAGCGUGAGUGACGGUAAUGGGUAAAGAAGCACCGGCUAACUACGUG
RNAcentral lists this ribosomal RNA (468 nucleotides) under uncultured bacterium. RNAcentral describes it as "partial 16S ribosomal RNA". It matches the Rfam family "Bacterial small subunit ribosomal RNA", at positions 28 to 507 of the family's 1533-position model. The record is from RNAcentral.